Molecule: ribosomal RNA, 446 nt
Filed under: uncultured bacterium
Lineage: Bacteria
Description: bacterial SSU rRNA
Rfam family: Bacterial small subunit ribosomal RNA
Source: RNAcentral
CCCAGACUCCUACGGGAGGCAGCAGUGGGGAAUAUUGCACAAUGGGGGAAACCCUGAUGCAGCGACGCCGCGUGAGUGAAGAAGUAUUUCGGUAUGUAAAGCUCUAUCAGCAGGGAAGAAAAUGACGGUACCUGAUUAAGAAGCCCCGGCUAACUACGUGCCAGCUGCCGCGGUAAUACGUAGGGGGCAAGCGUUAUCCGGAUUUACUGGGUGUAAAGGGAGCGUAGACGGUGAUGCAAGUCAGAAGUGAAAGCCCGGGGCUCAACUCCGGGACUGCUUUUGAAACUGUGUGACUGGAGUGCAGGAGAGGUAAGCGGAAUUCCUGGUGUAGCGGUGAAAUGCGUAGAUAUCAGGAGGAACACCAGUGGCGAAGGCGGCUUGCUGGACAGUAACUGACGUUGAGGCUCGAAAGCGUGGGGAGCAAACAGGAUUAGAUACCCCUGUAC